UACGUAGGGGGCGAGCGUUGUCCGGAAUCAUUGGGCGUAAAGCGCGUGUAGGCGGCUUGGUAAGUCCGGCGUGAAAUCUUGGGGCUCAACCCCAAGCCUGCGCUGGAUACUGCCUCGCUCGAGUCCGGGAGAGGAGAGUGGAAUUCCCAGUGUAGCGGUGAAAUGCGCAGAUAUUGGGAAGAACACCGGUGGCGAAGGCGGCUCUCUGGAACGGUACUGACGCUGAGACGCGAAAGCGUGGGGAGCGAACAGG
Molecule: ribosomal RNA, 253 nt
Filed under: uncultured bacterium
Lineage: Bacteria
Description: partial 16S ribosomal RNA
Rfam family: Bacterial small subunit ribosomal RNA
Source: RNAcentral